AUACCCGGCCGUCGCCGGCAGUCAGGAGAUGCAGUUUUAUCCAGUAAAGCGAAUGAUUAGAGGUCUUGGGGCUGAAACGAUCUCA
Molecule: microRNA precursor, 85 nt
Filed under: Erinaceus europaeus (western European hedgehog)
Lineage: Eukaryota; Metazoa; Chordata; Mammalia; Eulipotyphla; Erinaceidae
Description: miRNA (ENSEEUG00000023068.1)
Source: RNAcentral